This 309-nucleotide non-coding RNA is filed under the name Tribolium castaneum (red flour beetle). RNAcentral's name for it is "Eukaryotic large subunit ribosomal RNA". It matches the Rfam family "Eukaryotic large subunit ribosomal RNA", at positions 2279 to 2584 of the family's 3401-position model. Lineage: Eukaryota; Metazoa; Arthropoda; Insecta; Coleoptera; Tenebrionidae. The record is from Rfam by way of RNAcentral.
UAGACUCUUACUGUGACGUCACAAUGUCAACAUGCAGGCCUGGAGUUCGAGACGGCAAUGUCCCUACCCACUAUCUAGCGAAACCACUGCCAAGGGAACGGGCUUGGAAAAAUUAGCGGGGAAAGAAGACCCUGUUGAGCUUGACUCUAGUCUGGCAUUGUAAGGAGACAUGAGAGGUGUAGCAUAAGUGGGAGAUGGCAACAUCGACGGUGAAAUACCACUACUUUCAUCGUUUCUUUACUUACUCGGUGAGGCGGAACGCGUGCGUCGUUCGCUCACGAGCGGCGACUGUCACGGUGUUCUUGAGCC